GACGAACGCUGGCGGCGUGCUUAACACAUGCAAGUCGAACGGAAAGGCCCUGCUUUUGUGGGGUGCUCGAGUGGCGAACGGGUGAGUAACACGUGAGUAACCUGCCCUUGACUUUGGGAUAACUUCAGGAAACUGGGGCUAAUACCGGAUAGGAGCUCCUGCUGCAUGGUGGGGGUUGGAAAGUUUCGGCGGUUGGGGAUGGACUCGCGGCUUAUCAGCUUGUUGGUGGGGUAGUGGCUUACCAAGGCUUUGACGGGUAGCCGGCCUGAGAGGGUGACCGGCCACAAUGGGACUGAGAUACGGCCCAGACUCCUACGGGAGGCAGCAGUGGGGAAUAUUGCACAAUGGGCGGAAGCCUGAUGCAGCAGCGCCGCGUGCGGGAUGACGGCCUUCGGGUUGUAAACCGCUUUCGCCUGUGACGAAGCGUGAGUGACGGUAAUGAGUAAAGAAGCACCGGCUAACUACGUG
RNAcentral lists this ribosomal RNA (468 nucleotides) under uncultured bacterium. RNAcentral describes it as "partial 16S ribosomal RNA". It matches the Rfam family "Bacterial small subunit ribosomal RNA", at positions 28 to 507 of the family's 1533-position model. The record is from RNAcentral.